CCUACCAUAAUUAAAACUCUAGAAUUUUAGUUUCAAAUUCUUCAGGCAUGGGAGUGUUGUUCUGAAGAAUUUCAGGAAUAAAUAAAAUCUUUGAUCGAGAGCAAGAAACAACAUGUUCCUCAGUAUGAAAAAUCUCUGUCAAUUUUCAGGUUGCAAAAACAGAUGACAAUUGAGGACAAGAGGAAGUUUUCUUUCCAACUUGGUUCUGGUCACUCAUCAAGGUGACAUAUAUCAGUUAGGACAGGCUUUCUGUCCAUAGAAUGAUAGAUUUCCUUCAUAGGAAAGGCCAGCAGGCUACUCGGGGCUCCCUGCUGUGGCCACCAGAUUUGUGUCCACAGGGGCAUCUCUGGGAUGUUCAAAUGCCACCAUCCCUGUUUAUAAACUCAGGAGUGCAGUGGCAAUGCAAAGAAAGCAUGUGAACCAACAUUCCCAGCCUAAGGGAAGCCUCUCUGGGUCUUCAGAUGGUGGAAAUUGCUGAGACGUUUGACAGUGA
Molecule: long non-coding RNA, 493 nt
Filed under: Bos taurus (domestic cattle)
Lineage: Eukaryota; Metazoa; Chordata; Mammalia; Artiodactyla; Bovidae
Description: long non-coding RNA NONBTAT016668
Source: RNAcentral